This 282-nucleotide ribosomal RNA is filed under the name uncultured bacterium. RNAcentral's name for it is "partial 16S ribosomal RNA". It matches the Rfam family "Bacterial small subunit ribosomal RNA", at positions 524 to 794 of the family's 1533-position model. The record is from RNAcentral.
UACGGAGGGGGUUAGCGUUGUUCGGAAUUAACUGGGCGGUAAAGACGCACGUAGGCGGGACUAGUCAGUCAGAGGUGAAAUACCCCCACGGGCGUCAACCCUCGGAACUGCCUUUGUAUACUGCUAGUCUUGAGUUCGAGAGAGGUAAGUGGAAUUCCGAGUGUAGAGGUGAAAUUCGUAGAUAUUCGGAGGAACACCAGUGGCGAAGGCGGCUUACUGGUUCGAUACUGACGCUGAGGUGCGAAAGUGUGGGGAGCAAACAGGAUUAGAUACCCCGGUAGU